GUGCCAGCCGCCGCGGUACUACGGAGGGGGUUAGCGUUGUUCGGAAUUACUGGGCGUAAAGCGCACGUAGGCGGAUUGGAAAGCUGGGGGUGAAAUCCCGGGGCUCAACCUCGGAACUGCCUCCAAAACUAUCAGUCUAGAGUUCGAGAGAGGUGAGUGGAAUUCCGAGUGUAGAGGUGAAAUUCGUAGAUAUUCGGAAGAACACCAGUGGCGAAGGCGGCUCACUGGCUCGAUACUGACGCUGAGGUGCGAAAGUGUGGGUAGCGAACAGGAUUAGAAACCCCGGUAGUCC
This 292-nucleotide ribosomal RNA is filed under the name uncultured bacterium. RNAcentral's name for it is "partial 16S ribosomal RNA". It matches the Rfam family "Bacterial small subunit ribosomal RNA", at positions 505 to 796 of the family's 1533-position model. The record is from RNAcentral.